This 1455-nucleotide long non-coding RNA is filed under the name Numida meleagris (helmeted guineafowl). RNAcentral's name for it is "lncRNA (ENSNMEG00000012504.1)". Lineage: Eukaryota; Metazoa; Chordata; Aves; Galliformes; Numididae. The record is from RNAcentral.
GGAGUCCUGCUUGACACAUGGGGAAGUGCACUAAUGAGCUUUUCUAAGGACUUGCUUGCCACUCUGCAGCUGGAGCUAUAUUUGCUCUGUUCCUGAUAAAGGCUCUUAUCAGAGCAGAUCAACCUACUUGCUGUGGGGAAGUGCCCGUUCAGGUUACAGCCCCAUUACUGGCAGUCAUCUGUGUGCCCCAAGGCAAGCAUGGGACGGGCCCUGGGGGCAGUGUCAGCCACACUCCUCCCCGGCACCUGCAGCUAUAAAUCUUGUGGUUCAAAGCAUAUCUACAGACACGUUCUGGGCUUCUGAGUGUCCCUGUGGAGGCAGCAUGGCUUCCCGGCGUGCUCCCCUCAUGCUGCUUGCCUGUGUGGUGGCCCUGCCUGCCCUGUGUCUUGUCGACGCUGCCCAAGACCUGACCCUCCUCAAUCGAUCUGCCUCGAAUAGCAGUGCAUCUGCUCUCAGCAUGCCGACUGACGGUAGGUACACGAAAGGCCUCCAUCUCUGCAGGCAGAACCCUGCUAGGACCCUGUGCAUGAGUGCCCUGCCCACCCUCUGUGUCUGGUUCGGAUGGGGGAGCAUUGGUCCUGCAGGGCGGUGGGAGUUGGGCUGGCUCAGCAAGCAGCUCAGGAAUCCUCUGCUGGUCCCAGUGGUAUGGAAUAAGGUAAAUCAGGUCCAGAGACAGCACAAACUGCCAACAGUGGUAGAGGAGGAUGACUGAUACCCAUUUGGCUGAGGGCACACAUGGCAAUGCCAUGCCCAAUCUCUAGCACAGCAAAAAUGUUUGGAAAUGGGGACUUUAGAAGACAGAGGUGCCUUCUCCAGACAGGAGAUGUUUAGGCCCUACAUCUAACUGCUUGAUCUCUGCUUCUGGAGACAGAAAGCAUCUCCUGAUCUGAGUUCCAGCUUUGCUGCAUCUCCCCUGCCAUUUCCAACUCUUCUCCCUGCUGUUGGUUUCCACGCUCCAGGUGAGCUCCGGCUGGUGAACGGCUCCAACGCCUGCUCCGGACGGGUGGAGGUCUGGUACGGCAAUGAGUGGGGAACAGUCUGUGAUGACAGCUGGGACCUGAAAGAUGCCUCUGUGGUCUGUAGGCAGCUUGGCUGUGGGGAAGCAGUGUUAGCCCCAUCUCAAGCUUUUUUUGGAAGUGGAUCUGGACCUAUUUGGCUGGAUGAUGUUAACUGUGUUGGGAACGAGAGCUUCCUCACUCAGUGCACGCUGAAGGCCUGGGGACAACACAACUGCAGGCACAGCGAGGAUGCAGGCGUUGUAUGCUCAGGUACAUGACUGCACUGUGCCCUUUUAAUAUCCAGCUGCAGGUGUGCUAUGGGAUGUGCCUCUGUCUUCUUGGACAGGAUCUUGUUAAACCCUGCUCCCUCCCGCCACACUGGCCAGCACGGGGCAGGUCCAGUGCUGUGUGCUCCUGUGCUUCUCUGGGCAGAGAGGGGCCUUACAGCACCUCUCAC